Molecule: unclassified non-coding RNA, 307 nt
Filed under: Hevea brasiliensis (rubber tree)
Lineage: Eukaryota; Viridiplantae; Streptophyta; Magnoliopsida; Malpighiales; Euphorbiaceae
Source: RNAcentral
CAGGCUUCACAUCAUCACCUCUCCAGUCAAACGAGCUUCCAAGGAAAUACUGAUUUUCUAUGUAUAUGAAAUUCUUUGCUCUUCUAAUGGCAUUAAUGUAAGCAUCUUGAAUACUUCGGUCAAUGGUGUUGUCCUUUCCACUUAUCAGCCCUGCUUUUGCUGCUUCUUCAGGCGAGUCGGGGAAACCGAAAGCUGCCCCACCAUCGAUAGACCUGAAAACUUGAACAUUCCAACUGUCGAUGUCAUCAGGGAACGUGACAGGUGAUGGAGUGAUGAAGAUCUCAUCUAAAUCCCUCAAUUUCACAAG